RNAcentral lists this ribosomal RNA (253 nucleotides) under uncultured bacterium. Its description in RNAcentral is "partial 16S ribosomal RNA". It matches the Rfam family "Archaeal small subunit ribosomal RNA", at positions 474 to 727 of the family's 1478-position model. The record is from RNAcentral.
UACCAGCACCCCGAGUUGUCGGGACGAUUAUUGGGCCUAAAGCAUCCGUAGCCUGUUCUGCAAGUCCUCCGUUAAAUCCACCUGCUCAACGGAUGGGCUGCGGAGGAUACCGCAGAGCUAGGAGGCGGGAGAGGCAAACGGUACUCAGUGGGUAGGGGUAAAAUCCAUUGAUCUACUGAAGACCACCAGUGGCGAAGGCGGUUUGCCAGAACGCACUCGACGGUGAGGGAUGAAAGCUGGGGGAGCAAACCGG